Molecule: unclassified non-coding RNA, 343 nt
Filed under: soil metagenome
Description: partial contains 5.8S ribosomal RNA, internal transcribed spacer 2, and large subunit ribosomal RNA
Rfam family: 5.8S ribosomal RNA (bases 1-120)
Source: RNAcentral
GAUGAAGAACGUAGCGAAAUGCGAUAAGUAAUGUGAAUUGCAGAAUCCAGUGAAUCAUCGAAUCUUUGAACGCACAUUGCGCCCGCCAGCAUUCUGGCGGGCAUGCCUGUUCGAGCGUUAUUUCAACCCUCGACCUCCCCUUGGGGAGGUCGGCGUUGGGGACCGGCAGCACACCGCCGGCCCUGAAAUGGAGUGGCGGCCCGUCUGCGGCGACCUCUGCGUAGUAAUACAGCUCGCACCGGAACCCCGACGCGGCCACGCCGUAAAACACCCAACUUCUGAACGUUGACCUCGAAUCAGGUAGGACUACCCGCUGAACUUAAGCAUAUCAAUAAGCGGAGGA